This 72-nucleotide transfer RNA is filed under the name Camelus bactrianus (Bactrian camel). It matches the Rfam family "tRNA". Rfam says of the family: Transfer RNA (tRNA) molecules are approximately 80 nucleotides in length. Their secondary structure includes four short double-helical elements and three loops (D, anti-codon, and T loops). Lineage: Eukaryota; Metazoa; Chordata; Mammalia; Artiodactyla; Camelidae. RNAcentral also lists the same sequence under 3 other names. The record is from Rfam by way of RNAcentral.
GGUGGUAUUGCUCAGUGGUAGAGCAUAUGCUUAGCAUGCACAAGAUCCUGGGUUCAAUCCCCAGUACCUCCA